AGUGAACGCUGGCGGUAGGCCUAACACAUGCAAGUCGAACGGCAGCACAGUAAGAGCUUGCUCUUACGGGUGGCGAGUGGCGGACGGGUGAGGAAUACAUCGGAAUCUACUUUUUCGUGGGGGAUAACGUAGGGAAACUUACGCUAAUACCGCAUACGACCUACGGGUGAAAGCAGGGGAUCUUCGGACCUUGCGCGAUUGAAUGAGCCGAUGUCGGAUUAGCUAGUUGGCGGGGUAAAGGCCCACCAAGGCGACGAUCCGUAGCUGGUCUGAGAGGAUGAUCAGCCACACUAGAACUGAGACACGGUCCAGACUCCUGCGGGAGGCAGCAGUGGGGAAUAUUGGGCAAUGGGCGCAAGCCUGAUCCAGCCAUACCGCGUGGGUGAAGAAGGCCUUCGGGUUGUAAAGCCCUUUUGUUGGGAAAGAAAAGCAGCAGGUUAAUACCCCGCUGUUCUGACGGUACCCAAAGAAUAAGCACCGGCUAACUUCGUG
RNAcentral lists this ribosomal RNA (492 nucleotides) under uncultured bacterium. RNAcentral describes it as "partial 16S ribosomal RNA". It matches the Rfam family "Bacterial small subunit ribosomal RNA", at positions 29 to 507 of the family's 1533-position model. The record is from RNAcentral.